UUUAUAACAUUCUCUCAGUCGUAACUGUCACCGAACCUUCUCAUUGCACCACGUUUCAUUUUGGCAAUUGUCAUCCUUAUAUCCUAAUUAAGAAAUCAUAGCCAAAAUUUGCACUUACUCCUGUAUUUUGAAUUACCUUUGCUGAAGCAUUUUAUCUCCCAAGAAUGAUCAUAUUUUCACUAAAGAUUGUUUGAAUCAACCCAUCCAUGUCUUUUUAAAAUCAUUGUUUGUAGUAUUGUCUGGCUAAGCUUUAAAAAAAGUCACACUUAUUCUUAAGUGACUUUUUCUCCAAAUUUGGUUGAAUGACUUUUUUUCUUACCGAACUAAAUCAUUACUUAUUUGAAAGUAACUCUUACUUUGCUAUCAAUAUAAGUAGUGUAUUUCCACUGUGAUCAGUAAAAAAAUUAUUUACUUUAUAAACUGACUUAUAAAGUAAAUAUUUUAAGCCUAGACUCACAUCAGUCACAUGCAUGUGGAGAAUAAGUGCUAAUAAUUCUUUUCCUGAAAAAGUCACCUAUUCUUGAGCAGUUUAAGUUCUACAAGCUCGUAUUAUAAACCUAAAUCAAUGACUACCUCUUCUAUGCAAGGCUAUGGUAUGGGUUCUCUGUUUACCCCAACUUCACUACACUUGGAUUUCUGUACAAUGCUUCAUUAGUAGGGGUAUUUCAACUUAUAGCAAACCUCCUUUAAUCAGUCUUGGGAUCAAACAUAGGUGGAGUUGUUAAUUACCGUAAACUUGAAAACUAAUUUUAAACCGUAGUUAAAAUUAAAAGCACAUAAUUAAUAUGCUCCUUGGUGAGUUGGUA
RNAcentral lists this long non-coding RNA (806 nucleotides) under Olea europaea subsp. europaea. Lineage: Eukaryota; Viridiplantae; Streptophyta; Magnoliopsida; Lamiales; Oleaceae. The record is from RNAcentral.